UUACUCUGAUAUUUUGUGGCCCUAAAUCACACGCUAAAUAUUUGACACUUGCUUCAAGUGCUGCUUUGCACAAGCCCAUUACGUUAUAGUUUUGCAUCACUUUUUCAGCUCCAUAGUAAGAUAAAGUAAGUAAGCUGCCACCACCUUGCAUCAUCUUUUCCGCCCUCUGUGCUAGAGCGGUAAAAGAAUAACAUGAUAUAUGAAUUGCAUUGAGAAAAUUACUUAGUGAUGUAUUAAUAUAUUUGUCCUUUAAUUCAUCUUUAUCGCAAAAUGCGAUUGCAUGGACUAAAAAGUCCAGAUUUUUCCAUUUUGUUUGUAUACUACUAAAAGUAGUAUCUAUUGUUUCUUCAUUUACAACAUCACAUCUCAGUACUAACUCUCUAUCAAGUUGUAAUUCAUCUGCAAUAGGCAACAAUUUUUUUCUAAUGUCUUCAUUUUGAUAGGUAAUUGCAAUUUCUGCCCCGUGCUCUGAAAGAGCCUUUGCUAUGCCAUACGCUAUUGAUCUUUUGUUUAUUAUCCCAGCUAUUAACCCUUUUUUGCCUUGUAAAAAAUUCGUUGUCAUGUAUGUAUCAGAUAAAAUACCAUUUCUAUAAAACUGUCUUCACAGUUAAAGUGAACUUUAGUAUUAUAGUGCUCUAAUAACAAUAAUGCGAGGUAAGUAUUAAUAUUUUUUGUAUCCAAAUCAGUAUUAUCCUUAUUAGUAAAUUUAUCCACUAAAUAUCUGCUCAAAGUUUUAUGUUCAUUAGAAAUUUUUAUGGUUAAUAGUGUUCUACCCUCUGCUUCACUC
Molecule: non-coding RNA, 787 nt
Organism: Cinara cedri
Lineage: Eukaryota; Metazoa; Arthropoda; Insecta; Hemiptera; Aphididae
Source: the annotation of a GenBank genome assembly